Molecule: ribosomal RNA, 432 nt
Filed under: uncultured bacterium
Lineage: Bacteria
Description: bacterial SSU rRNA
Rfam family: Bacterial small subunit ribosomal RNA
Source: RNAcentral
AACGAACGCUGGCGGCAGGCCUAACACAUGCAAGUCGAGCGCCCCGCAAGGGGAGCGGCGGACGGGUGAGUAACGCGUGGGAACGUACCCCUUUCUACGGAAUAGCCUCGGGAAACUGGGAGUAAUACCGUAUAAGCCCUACGGGGGAAAGAUUUAUCGGGAAGGGAUCGGCCCGCGUUGGAUUAGGUAGUUGGUGGGGUAAUGGCCUACCAAGCCGACGAUCCAUAGCUGGUUUGAGAGGAUGAUCAGCCACACUGGGACUGAGACACGGCCCAGACUCCUACGGGAGGCAGCAGUGGGGAAUCUUAGACAAUGGGCGCAAGCCUGAUCUAGCCAUGCCGCGUGAUCGAUGAAGGCCUUAGGGUUGUAAAAGAUCUUUCAGUGGGGAAGAUAAUGACUGUACCCACAGAAGAAGCCCCGGCUAACUCCGUG